AGAGUUGAUCAUGGCUCAGGACGAACGCUGGCGGCGUGCCUAACACAUGCAAGUCGAGCGGGGACAUGCGACGGAUAGGAAGAUUCGGUUGGACUUGAAGAUGCAUUGUUCUAGCGGCGGACGGGUGAGUAACGCGUGAGCAACCUGUCCCUUACAGGGGGAUAACACAGCGAAAGUUGUACUAAUACCGCAUAAGACCACGGGAGGACAUCCUUCAGGGGUCAAAGGAGGAAUCCGGUAAGGGGUGGGCUCGCGUCCGAUUAGAUAGUUGGUGAGGUAACGGCCCACCAAGUCGACGAUCGGUAGCCGACCUGAGAGGGUGAUCGGCCACAUUGGGACUGAGACACGGCCCAAACUCCUACGGGAGGCAGCAGUGGGGAAUAUUGGGCAAUGGGGGAAACCCUGACCCAGCAACGCCGCGUGAGGGAAGAAGGUUUUCGGAUCGUAAACCUCUGUCCUUGGUGAAGAGGAAGAGACGGUAGCCAAGGAGGAAGCCCCGGCUAACUACGUGCCAGCCGCAGC
Molecule: ribosomal RNA, 522 nt
Filed under: uncultured bacterium
Lineage: Bacteria
Description: bacterial SSU rRNA
Rfam family: Bacterial small subunit ribosomal RNA
Source: RNAcentral